Serinus canaria (Common canary) is the source of this 4232-nucleotide long non-coding RNA. RefSeq lists it as uncharacterized. The transcript is spliced from 3 exons. NCBI's taxonomy places the organism in Eukaryota, Metazoa, Chordata, Aves, Passeriformes, Fringillidae. The record is from RefSeq and is a predicted model, not a curated record.
GUUAAACCAAGAUGGCCGGCGGGGUUUGUGGGGGGGCUGUGAGUCUUUCUGUCGGGCAAGGGAUGGGGGAGAGCUGAGGGGCCUCCUUCUGGCAGUCUUGGCCCGAGAAGCACCGUGCCUUGCUGCGAAGCGUGGGAUGGGUUUCUGGUAAGGUCACGCCUCCCUCCUGGAGGGCUCAAAAGCAAAUAGUUAAAUACCCAGCCUGUAGAUGCCCUCAAAGUAAUGGAGAAAAAGCAGGGAGAAGGCUCUGUCCAUUGAGAAUGUAUUAAACCGCAGCAGUUUCUCUCCCUGACAGAGCAAGUGGUCUAAUGCAUGGGGUACACGAUUUUUUUGUGAGGCUUUUGACACCGUCUCGGGGCAGUCUCGUAAGCAAAGCUGUGUGUGCACAAGGAUUUGCACACCUGCCCUUGUGAGUCCUGCAGGGCACUCCGUGAGGGCUCAGUGCUUUCUGGUGGACGCCUUGGAUGAUGCAAUAGGUGGCACAGAUUACAAAUUAAAUCUGGGACAGGAUUAGGGUGUACUGUUUAAAGGCAGGAAGCCGAACCCAAGACGAGCAAGUACCCAAAGUAAAAUACAGAGUAAAACAAGUACACAUCACCUUUAAAUAAAAAGAAGAAAUCGAUUUAUUUUUUCCAAGAAAGACAUUAAUGAUGUAUUGUUAUUAAUGUAAUGGCCAGAGUUCCUAUAUGUUUUUUAAAGGCACAGCAUUAUCCCAUGAGUGUGAGCAUUAUGACCUUAAAACAACAUAGCUAUCUUUAAAACCACCAAACAGUUGAAAAAAAAGUUAUGCAUGUUCUUUAGUAACAGUUCAAUUUGGGAAAGAUUCAGUAUGAAUUGUAUUUAGGUGAAUCUCAAGCAUUUUUACCCAUGCCAUCUGACUCAGUUAAUGUGAACUAUACAAUCUGCUCUCUGAUUUUCUCUGUAUGAACAUUUAGUUUGCCAGCAGCCAUUCACCAUUGCAACUAAAACUGCAAGCUACGUGAAAUUUAUUUAUGCAUUAUUUUCCCACUGAUAGGUUCUAAGUGCUUCAGUCACAAAUAAAGGUCAGAGGUGGCCAUGCUCCAACUCUGCUGCCAGCUGGCCUAAGGACAGAGACGACCAUCUGGGACACGAGGAGGUCCAAAUACAGCUGAAGUCAGUUCUAAGCAGUGCUUUGUUGCAUAAUAAAAAAUUCAAGUGAAUAGCCUGGACCAACUUUGGAGCAGCAAAGGGCAUGAUGGAAAGAUGAAGAGGCUUAAAGUAGAAUAAUGUCUAGAAUAAUGUCUAAGAUUCCAUAUGAAAAAGAUAAUUUCUGGAAGCUGGACUGCCCCUCAUGUCUUUCAUAAUAAAUAUUAAUGUAAAGAAUAGAAAACUGCAGCAAUCAACAAAGAAAAGUGGGAAAAUAACAGAGUCAUGAAUAAGACCUGAUAGAGUUCAAGCCAGACAAAACCUUGACAGAGUAACCAAAGGCUUUUAGCAAUCAUUUUCUAUGCAAGAGUUUUAUCUUUGCAGUACUUUUAAUAUAUUCAUGAAAAAAUAAUAUAUUAACUGCCUUGCCAGUUGUUUAUUGUUUAGGUUUUUGUAAUUGACCCCAGUUCACAGGUGAGUAAUAGAAAUUCCUGCUAUCUUGUACUGCCUCUGCAAUAGCAGCAGCGAACUAGUGAACACCACUCACAGAGCCCAGAUGCUACAACUUGAUUUGCAGAGCUAUGUUGAGGUGCUAAAGUAAUAUUGUAAAACAAAAGUAGCUCAAACAGGGUAACUUGAGCCUCUGUUUAAAUUACUUGUUUUGGUUUGGGUUUUUUUUUUACUGUGAAAAAUUGCAACACUGUUGCAUAAAAAUUUGCUAUUUUAAGUCUCCUGGAAAAAAUUACAGAUGUGGAGAUGAAAAGCCAGCAACAAGUCACUGAAGAGUAUUUUUAACUGGGUUGUCCAACAGCCAGAUUUGUAAAUUCCUGACACAUGUAGUAUGUGUCUGUCAAUAAAGAACUGUUCAUCUGGCUUUUUUCAGUCUGUGGUGAAAAGAUCUGAAUUACCAGAAAUAAACAAGUAAUUAUAGGAAAAAAAUAUGUCUCUAACUGCUGUUACUUUUUAUAGAAGCUCUAGGCUUUAAUCCAUAAAAAGGAAGGAAGAGCGACACAUUAAAAGGAAAACCGGUAUACUUAGCUAUCUUCAGAAUUUGAGGAGGAACAUUAAUUUUGAGCAACUUAACUAGCCUACAGAGUGUAUUUUUGUCUUUAUAUGCUUCUCAGUUCAUUGACUGUUGAAGAAUUACAAAUUGACUGUGCUCUAAAUGUGUGUACUCAUUUAAGGUUAGGGAAGAUAAAUCUAGGCUAUAGGGAGGACAUUACUUCAUUAGGCAGCUUUCUAGUGACCUAUUAAUCUUAUCCAUCCAUCCAUUGUAGUCUGCACCAGACUUAGGCUGCUGGAGGAAUUAGAGGAGGAGAUUUAAGUGACAGAAAGACAGGGUAAUGAAAUUCCUGCUGUAUAACAGUCUAAGAAAGUGUGGAGAAGUCCAAGGAUCAAACAGUGUGGAAAUUAUAAUGGUGAUGGAUCUGGCCUUGCCAAACUGAUCAAUCUACUUGAGAGCUCCCCUGUGAAGAAGGAAAUAGAGAGGUGGUGAGCUUCCAGGAGCUUCCUCUCAGCAAACUGUGGCUCCAGAAAAGCAGGUUCUUCAUCUUGCAUGGCUGGAACACUUCCACGUGUAGCUGUGCCAUGUCAGAAAUUCCAACAUCUCCUUUUUAGCUUCCAAGAUUUCCAGCUUGUCUAAUAAGACCAUGGGAGCCUCUCUGAUGGCCAAGGUAGAUUUUCUGUUACUGUAGUAGUCCAUAUACACAAAAAGGAUAGUUUAUUAUCAGUAAUAUGCAGCGUGUGUGGUGACAAUGCAUUGUCCCCCAUUUGUUCAGAAUUCCCGUCUUUUUAAAAAACAUUUUGUAAAAUCCUGUGAUAAAGGGCCUAGCAUACAUGAAACAAAAAUUAUAAUGGCAUCCCACAGGUACUAAAAGAACUUUUGUGGGACCUGGUAAAGGGACAGUUAUUAGAAUGUAAUCUUCAACAAAAUCAAAGACUACAGUAUGUGUAAAGUUAUUGUAGUAUGAUCUGUUGUGCUGUGAAAUAUUUUGCAGAAGAGCAUUAUUUUAAACAAAGUAAUUGUUGGAAUUUUUUUUUUUUUUUUGUUCUGGGGGAAGUUUAUUGUACAAGUGCAGCAAAAAAUUUAAUUUGUGGCCUGUCUUUCCUGCAUCACCCUUAUCUUCCUGAAUAGAAGGAGCAAGGCUGCAGGUUAUUUCAGAGCAUCAACCUUCUGUGGAGAGGAGAGAAGGACAAAAAGACAAGAGGAUCAAGGACAUUCUCUUGGGCUUCAUACUGACUUUCCAGUGCAAAUCUCAGAGUCCACAGCCAUGGCAAAUAACACUGCUGGUCUUUGGCAGUCUCACAGAGAGGGGAGAAGAAAGAUUAUGGUGGCUAAGGGAAAAAGAAGAUCUGUUUCUCUCUUCUGAACCUGUGGGAACAGAGAGAAACUGCCCUUUUUGCCUUAUUCCAAUGACAGGAAAAAGUGAGAUUUUUUUUUUUUAACUUUUUGUAAAGGCUAGGUAAACAUCCUGUUAAUGUACAGCUGAUUUUUUUUCCCCUGUCCAUUUCAUGCCCAGAUGCAGCUAUGUUGGUGCUAUCCCUGAAAAAGGCAUCUGACUCCCUCUCUUGCAUCAAGCCCCAGGCCUCUUUAGGUGCUGCAAGGCUACUGUAAGGUCUUCUUGGAGCUUUCUCUUCUCCAGGCUGAACAGCCCAAACUCUCUCAGCUUGUGUUCAUAGGAGGGGUGCCCCAGACCUCUGAUUGUCUUCAUGGCCCUCCUCUGGACUCACUCCAAGAGGUCCAACAUAUGCCAAAUUACAGGAGAAAAAGAACAGGAAAACUGAAAUGUUCAUUUUUCUUCUCAGAGACAGCUCCAACCUACCCAGAUAUCAUAGACCCACUGUAAAUAGAUCAUACAUAAAUAAAUUGUAUUUCAGACAGAAUAUAUCAGAAAAUGUAUAGAAUUUUUUUCCAAUUAACACCCUUAAGGAUUUCUUUUUAUUUAUAGCUUUCAACAUUAAGUCUAGCAACUUUGGUAUAACUGUUUGAGUUUCUGCUAAGGAUUCUAAUAGCAGAAGUUAAGCAGCAGCAUUUCUGUGAACUGCCAUUGUAAUGAGCAUAUAUGGAAAAAAAUAAAUUCUAUUGUGUGUUCUAGUUUCACAAAGAAGAUGCACAAGAUUUGAUG